Long non-coding RNA from Ictalurus punctatus (channel catfish), 595 nucleotides. RefSeq lists it as uncharacterized. NCBI's taxonomy places the organism in Eukaryota, Metazoa, Chordata, Actinopteri, Siluriformes, Ictaluridae. The transcript has 2 exons. The record is from RefSeq and is a predicted model, not a curated record.
AGUAUACAUGCCCGAAUUAUAAUUAACUUUCAUUCGAGCACUGCCUUCCCAAAAUGCUCGGUUCGAUCCCCACGGAACUUCAAGAAACAAUUCCGGACUCCAGUUCUCGGCGUGUGUUUCGUCAGAGACAGCAGUAACCAGCAGGCGAAAGAUUCCACCUCUACCGUCUAGCUGCCUUUCUGCUUCUCGCUGCCUGCGCAAGCAGCGUGGAUUGACACGGUGAACUAGUGAACCAGUGGAUUGACAGAACACACAGGGUGGAGAAGACAUCCUCUGCCCAAUAGGGAACUGCACUGCUCCUGGGCCAACACAUGGGACAUAUGGUCAUUGCAACCUGGGGGCUUCAGCAUGGCGAGCACAACUAGUCUCUUUCGGAUAGCCGGUAGAUUUUCUGAAAACAACAGACAUUCUCUGAUGGAAGCCGAGUACUAACUGCAUGCUAAGAAAUAGGACAAAGGUCUUUUUUUUCAUAGAUAUGUUAAUAUCUGACAAACACUGGGUUGCGUACUGCGUUCUGUAAGUCUUAAAAUUUAGCAUUUUGCAAAUUUAAACAAAUUAUAUGUUAAAAAUUCGGAAGGUAAGCAAAUGUACUUGG